UACAGAGGGUGCAAGCGUUAAUCGGAAUUACUGGGCGUAAAGGGCGCGUAGGUGGUUAUAUGAGUGAGAUGUGAAAGCCCCGGGCUUAACCUGGGAAUUGCAUCUUAUACUGUAUGACUGGAGUGCAAUAGAGGGUAGUGGAAUUUCCGGUGUAGCGGUGAAAUGCGUAGAUAUCUGGAGGAACACCGGUGGCGAAGGCGGCAUUCUGGACUGUAACUGACACUGAUGAACGAAAGCCAGGGGAGCAAACGGG
RNAcentral lists this ribosomal RNA (253 nucleotides) under uncultured bacterium. RNAcentral describes it as "partial 16S ribosomal RNA". It matches the Rfam family "Bacterial small subunit ribosomal RNA", at positions 524 to 776 of the family's 1533-position model. The record is from RNAcentral.